GAAUUCAAUGCCCAGGUUUCAGUUGGUAUAAAAGUGGAGAUCCGAAAAUGAACCCGGCAGUCUUCGGUUCACUUUCGUCCAGGUAGAUCUCUUCCUCUUUCUGCAUCUACGCCUCACUUUACAAACAUGGCGAGGCACACGCUGUUUCUUGUAUUGGUGUUAGUGAUUGUAACAAUGGCCGCUGCCAUGCCCCGAGUCUUCGAAAGGGUUAAGCGAUCUCCGGAUCCGAGUCAUUGGAAUAAAAAUCGCUAUGGUAACAGAGGCUACUACGCAGUCCCUAGUUAUGGUGGCUAUGGCUACAACCCUCAACCAUAUUGGGGGGGUGGUGGAUUUUCCUCAGCUUCGGCGUAUUCGAUUAAUGGCUUUUCUGGUGCGAGUGCGAAUGCAGCGUCAUUUGGUAGAUAAGGACGCCUCUGAAAAGCCCCAGUUGAUCGAAUGGUGUCGGUUUUGCCGUGGAUGAUUGCGACGGUGUUACACAAACUGAUAUAUAAUGACAAGUGUAUAAUAAUUAUCGUACGAUAAGUGAAAAAAAUAAAAAUAAAAAUUUUGUAAUUUUGUCACUAUAAAUAUUGUAUACCGUCAUUUUAAUCGAUCAUUUAAAAAUUCUAUGCAGAUACAUUUCUAUGGUCCGUGUAUUGAUUGAUUGAACCACUUUUACCCUCGAAUCCUUGGAUAUAUAUUUUGUAACUGAAAUCAGUGCUGAUACCGAAUUUUCAGAAUUAUCGAAACGUUAAACAAUUUCGUAUAAUACAGCUGUGUAUGUGACUGUGAAGAGUGGUACGGUAUAUUAAAUCGAUGAUCGGGUGUUUUAUUUGCAUUGGCGUUAGAAAGAUGACUGAAACUCAAUUUAUUUCCGACCGCAAGAAAUUAUGUCGUCUCAAUCGUUGAUUGGUUUUUUUUUUUUUUUUUUUUUUCUAAUUAAAAUCUAAUUUGAAUGGAAUUAUUUGCGACCUCGUUAAAUUUCUCAGCAAAGCGAUACUUCGAAAUUAAGUUUACGAAUGAUUCGAACUUGUUUUUCAUAUUAGCACAGCUGUGUCUUCGACUAUUCUGUGUUAAUAGUCAAAUUUAUAAUUAACAAUUGGUUGUAGCUACCAAACAUGAUCUGUAAUUUCGAGGUUUGAAUGUCAAAUGAACACAAGCUGUGAAAUUAGUGCAAGACCCGAAUUAAUUUCGUAAUACUUUUCCAGAGCGAUAAAUACAGGAAUAAAAUUUUUAUAUGUAAUAGCACAAAUCAUAAUUUUAUGAUACAUUCUUCGUGACUGUUUAAUAGUAAGCUUAUAUCUCUCGCAAUUCCAAUGCUUUUGAACUUAAUCAAUAUAAUAAAUGUACAAUAUUGUGGAAUACAUAUUUUUUUUAUGAUCGUAAGUUCCACUGCGAUUUUAGCAAAUUAUGAAAACCGUCCAAGACAGAGACAGACAAAGCAGUCCAGUUGGAAAAGAAGCCUACAAUUCAUUCUCAUUUAAUUUAAUUUUAACAUGGAUUAUAUAAACCGUCAAAAGAAAAGGAUCAAAAAGAAAUGAAGGUAAAAACUCGCGGUUUUAAAUAAUAUGUUGCCAAAAAUUUAUUCUUCACGUUCGGAUGUGCGAUGAGCGGAAAGUUUCGACACAAUAAGAAGAAAAAAAAAAAAAAACAA
This is a long non-coding RNA of Neodiprion fabricii, 1633 nucleotides long. RefSeq lists it as uncharacterized. NCBI's taxonomy places the organism in Eukaryota, Metazoa, Arthropoda, Insecta, Hymenoptera, Diprionidae. The transcript is spliced from 3 exons. The record is from RefSeq and is a predicted model, not a curated record.